Molecule: long non-coding RNA, 475 nt
Filed under: Homo sapiens (human)
Lineage: Eukaryota; Metazoa; Chordata; Mammalia; Primates; Hominidae
Description: HSALNT0236615
Source: RNAcentral
UUUAAAGCAGCAAAAGAAAAACAACUCAACACAUACAAAGAAACCUCCACAAGAUUAUCAGUGGGUUUCUCACCAAAAACCCUGCAGACCAAGAUAGAGUGGAAUGAUAUACUCAAAGUGCUGGAAGAAAAAAAACUGCCAACCAAAAACAUACUCAGCAAAGCCAUCUUUCAAAAAGGAAAGAAAGAUAAAGACCUUCCCAGACAAACCAAAACUGAGGAAGUUCAUCACCCCUGGACUUGCCUUACAAGAAAUAUGAAAGGGAGACCUUCAAGUUGAAAUGAAAGGAAUAUGUAUCAGCAACAUGAAAACAUACACUCACUGAUAAAGCAGAAGACUAGAAGUUUAUCGUCUGCUAGAGCAGAGGGGGACGCUGGACUUCGGACAUCAGGUAAAUGUGCCCUGUGGAACAAAAGAAAAUGUAACAAAAGCAACACACUGAAUGGUGACUCCCCAGUCCUCUUCAAAUACUGCC